UUGAACAAUCAAAGCAUGUUCGGGCCUGGUUAGUACUACGGUGGGGGACCACGUUGGAAUCCCAGGUGUUGUUCUCU
RNAcentral lists this ribosomal RNA (77 nucleotides) under Fragilariopsis cylindrus CCMP1102. Lineage: Eukaryota; Bacillariophyta; Bacillariophyceae; Bacillariales; Bacillariaceae. The record is from RNAcentral.